This 427-nucleotide ribosomal RNA is filed under the name uncultured bacterium. RNAcentral's name for it is "bacterial SSU rRNA". It matches the Rfam family "Bacterial small subunit ribosomal RNA", at positions 355 to 775 of the family's 1533-position model. The record is from RNAcentral.
UGGGGAAUCUUGCGCAAUGGGCGAAAGCCUGACGCAGCAACGCCGCGUGCGGGAAGAAGGCCUUCGGGUCGUAAACCGCUUUCAGUUGGGACGAAGCUUCCGAGGUUAAUAGCCUACGGGGUGACGGUACCUUCAGAAGAAGCCCCGGCUAACUACGUGCCAGCAGCCGCGGUAAUACGUAGGGGGCGAGCGUUGUCCGGAAUCAUUGGGCGUAAAGCGCGUGUAGGCGGUUUGGUAGGUCUCGCGUUAAAGCCUGCAGCUCAACUGCAGAGGUGCGCGGGAAACCACCUCACUAGAGUCCGGAAGAGGAGAGUGGAAUUCCAGGUGUAGCGGUGAAAUGCGCAGAUAUCUGGAGGAACACCAGUGGCGAAGGCGGCUCUCUGGGACGGUACUGACGCUGAGACGCGAAAGCGUGGGGAGCGAACAG